RNAcentral lists this long non-coding RNA (406 nucleotides) under Moschus moschiferus (Siberian musk deer). Its description in RNAcentral is "lncRNA (ENSMMSG00000019954.1)". The record is from RNAcentral. Lineage: Eukaryota; Metazoa; Chordata; Mammalia; Artiodactyla; Moschidae.
CUCCGCUUUGUUCCCGAGACUUGGGUCGGGCGCUUUUGGUGAGGGUGAUCCAAGAUCCCACUAGAAACUUUUUCACCAAACCCAAAGAAGAGAUGAGGCAAGAUCUGUGCUGGGCAGAGAUCCUUUGGAGUGAGGCUACUAUACACAGGCGUGAAAGUGAGCCAUUUUCUUCUGUUCGGCAGGUAUUGCCUCUUAUUCAUCACUCCACUGAAGCUAAUCAGUAACCAAAGAACAUGUGACUCAAAAGGACCUGAAAGGCUGAUGAUCCUGGUGAAUUAGAGGAAUGCAAUCUCCCUAGGUAAAAUCUCUGUCUCUCUCGGAAUAGAACUCUGCUCUUUGUGAGUUCCUCACAGCCUAAAAUGAAUGGUACUGCUGAGAUUAAGUGGAGAAGGCAAUGCAAGCCACU